UACAGAGGGGGCAAGCGUUAUUCGGAAUUAUUGGGCGUAAAGGGCGCGUAGGCGGCUUUGCAAGUGACGGGUGAAAUCCCUCGGCUUAACCGAGGAACUGCCUGUCAAACUGCAUGGCUUGAGACCGGGAGAGGUGAGUGGAGUUCCCAGUGUAGCGGUGAAAUGCGUAGAUAUUGGGAGGAACACCAGUGGCGAAGGCGGCUCACUGGACCAGUACUGACGCUGAUGCGCGAAAGCGUGGGGAGC
Molecule: ribosomal RNA, 246 nt
Filed under: uncultured bacterium
Lineage: Bacteria
Description: partial 16S ribosomal RNA
Rfam family: Bacterial small subunit ribosomal RNA
Source: RNAcentral